AGGACGAACGCUGGCGGCGUGCUUAACACAUGCAAGUCGAACGGUAAGGCCCUUCGGGGUACACGAGUGGCGAACGGGUGAGUAACACGUGGGUGAUCUGCCCUGCACUUCGGGAUAAGCUUGGGAAACUGGGUCUAAUACCGGAUAUGGCUACGAAUCGCAUGGUUUGUGGUGGAAAGCUUUUGCGGUGUGGGAUGGGCCCGCGGCCUAUCAGCUUGUUGGUGGGGUGAUGGCCUACCAAGGCGACGACGGGUAGCCGGCCUGAGAGGGUGUCCGGCCACACUGGGACUGAGAUACGGCCCAGACUCCUACGGGAGGCAGCAGUGGGGAAUAUUGCACAAUGGGCGCAAGCCUGAUGCAGCGACGCCGCGUGAGGGAUGACGGCCUUCGGGUUGUAAACCUCUUUCAGUAUCGACGAAGCGCAAGUGACGGUAGGUACAGAAGAAGGACCGGCCAACUACGCGCCAGCAGCCGCGGUAA
Molecule: ribosomal RNA, 480 nt
Filed under: uncultured bacterium
Lineage: Bacteria
Description: SSU rRNA
Rfam family: Bacterial small subunit ribosomal RNA
Source: RNAcentral